RNAcentral lists this long non-coding RNA (1269 nucleotides) under Phoenix dactylifera (date palm). RNAcentral's name for it is "long non-coding RNA (PDAC_LNC005372)". Lineage: Eukaryota; Viridiplantae; Streptophyta; Magnoliopsida; Arecales; Arecaceae. The record is from RNAcentral.
CAAUGGAUCCAUGCUGCAGUGUCUUCUAGUCCACAUAAGUUAUGGGCCGGGUCCGCUCUGAUACCAUUUGUAACAACCUAGGACCUCACCCAAAAUAGCUUGCCGGAAGUUAUUGUUUGGGUUCCUUGAUCUUGUAUAAGUACCCAAGAUCUAUCCAACGAAUAACCGAUGUGGGACUAAACACACGCCCGCACGGGUCCUCACAUGGAUUAAGACAUAAUAAUGAAUGUACCAACAAGCUAGUAAUUUUAGAAAAAAAAAUCUAGACUUGACAUGGGUAUGUUGAGGUUUAAAUCAGAAUGUGCAGAGAAAGUGUGGUGAAUAGAACUAUUUGAAAUUGGUCAGACAAGACGACUUUGAUUUGAAGAGUGUUAUAAUUUAGUUUGGAAGAAGUAUCUCUACUCUUGAACUGCAUGUAUGAAAAUUUCGUGGACGAAAUUUUUUUUUUAGGGGGGAAGGAUGUGAGACCCUGGAACUGGGCCCGGUCCAUUUGACCGGCCCAGUCCCAGAGUCCAGUCUCACAUGCGGCGCACGUGAGGCAGCGGGAUGGAGAGAUCCAUCCCGAAGAAGAAGGAGGAGCCCCUGUUUUAGGGCUUCUCCUCUUUCUCCUCUUGUGAGGCCAACCGAGAAGAGCCGCCAGACGCCCCCCCCCCUCCUGGUUUGGGUUCUUCUUCCUUGGGCUACUGGCCGAGAGAGAGGGAGAGAGCCGCUGAAGCCCGCUCCUCUUCGAUUCGGGGGAUCUUCCUCUUUCUCCGUUGCCGUCAGAAAGGAGCCGCCGGAUCUUCGCCGGGGCUGAGGUAAGGGUUUCUACCCUUCAUUUCUUUCUAUACCAAUUGAAAACAAGAAAGAAAGAAAGAAAGAAAGAAAGAAAGAAGAGAGGGAAGAAGGAGAAGGCCGACCAUCGCGGGCUCUUCUUCUUCUCCCGUCCGCAUGCCUCCUCCACGGGAAGAAGGAGAGGGCCGGCCGUCGCGGGCGCCGCCGGCCUCGACUUGGCUUCUCCCGAGCUCGCGACCUCCCUUCGCGGGAGAANNNNNNNNNNNNNNNNNNNNAAGGAGAAGAAAAAAAAGAAAUAAAAAUAAAUAAAUAAAUAAAGGGAGAGGGUGGUUUACGGGUAUGAACCCGAAUACAAAUCCGAACCCAGGAUGUCGGAUACUUCCGCGUGUUCGGUCCUGGGAGGAUGUUAAGAUUUAAGUUUUAUAUAUAUAUUGUGAUGAAUUUUAAAAGAAAAAUAUGAUUUUUAGAUAUUAGGUUCUGCGAGGGAUUUGUGAG